GCGGUGCGGGCAGGCCAUGCCUGGGGACUCUCCGCCGCUGUGGGAGCUGGUGGAAGAGCACGUUCCGCUCCCGGAACGGCCCGAAGUGAAGAGGAUUCUAGGGGAGACGACGGUGGACCUGAGCCUGGAGCUGCGGGCAGAGGUGGGGCGUGGGAAUGUGGGCUCCACUCCAGGCCUAUCCCACGACUUGGGUGAUUUCCUCACCUCCUCCGGGUCCCUGGCUCUGCCCGGUAACUUUCGAGCUCUUGUCGGAUCUCACUGUCCACCCAGCCCUCUGGCUACCAGUUUAACUCUGCACUGACCCUCACUCCCCUAGCUCCCCUUCCUCCCCUUACUUCUGCCCCGCAGUCGCAAGGGGUCCCAGCUCUCCUUGCAGGUGGUGGUGCUACGAUCACUGCUCCGAGAGGCUCGAUCCUUCCAAGCCCCUGGUUCGCGCCCCACCUCUGACCUCUCCUCCCUUCUGGCACCACCGCCCCUCCUAAGAGACCUCGUGCGCCAGGAACUGCGGCAGCUGCUCCAAGGUCUCCGUGGGAAGGCCAUCUGGACCAGACCCAGGCUUGGGUCCAGUAUAGCCCCGGGGUCCUGCGCUUUGCCUUGGAGGAGCCCAGGCGUGAUUUGCCAGAGCAGGGGAUAUUCCGCCUGAGAGCUGGUGAGCCCAGCUGUCACAGGGACCUCAGCGUCAUCAAGGACCAACUGAACGUGUCCCACGUUGACCAGGUUGCCGGAUACCUGCGGUGAGGCCCCUGAGUGUGUGCAGUGGGGGUCGGGACAAGGAGGGUGGGACGGGGGAUGGAUCCUAACGUACUGGGACUAUGAGGAAGGAGGAGGGAGGCAGCAUACCUGAUGGGGAGACCCAGGAGAGUAGGGCUGAGAGGUGGAAGGGGCAGGGUGCUGGUGAGGUUGCUGCCAGGAAGUAGCCAAGUAGGGAUGCCAGCAGGGGCCUUGGCCUGAGGACUUUUAUCCUGGGGUGUGGGAGAGAGAUGGACCACAGAAGAGUCUUUUAAACAGGGGAAGGGCUGUGAUCUGGGGGAGAAUGGAGGCAGGAGGACUUGCAGGCCCAAUACUGUCGUGAAGAAGAGAGAAUGGGGCCCCCCAGCUUGGGCGCUGGGAGGUGGGCAAGGAGAGGACACGUCCUGCCCAGGAAGAGGCCGGCGGGGCUGCAAGGCCGUGCUGGGAUUGCACUUGGGCAGCAGAGGGAGAGGUGGGCUGAGAAAGGAGGGCCUAGAGGGAACUCCUGGUAAGGCUGGAGGCUGGGUCUGUGUGGCGGGCUCUGCUGUGACCCGGGCCUGCAGCACUGCUGCCGGUGCCACACUCCCCCAUGUCCCAGGGCCCUCCUGGAGGAGGAGUGUUGCAAGUUGAAGAGGGAGAUUGCCAUCCUGCAGGUGAGCGGCAGCCCUGGGCCUCCCCACCCCCAGAGCCUUUCUGCUGAGCCUAGACACACCCGUCUCUCACCUGGUGUGUGAGAUCCACAUGCAUGUGUGUGUGUGUAUGUGUGUGCAAAGAUUGUGUGAGUCCUCUGUCCAUUUCUCCUGUAUGCACACUUCCCGUACGUGUGAAUCCAGAUUCUGGUUGAGUCCCUAAGUCCAAGGUCGGCACUUUUAGAUUAACCUGCUGGAUUUGCCCCUGGUCUUUUGCCUCCUUCUCUUCCCCAUGUCUGGGUUCGGGCCUGCCACUACCUUGCCAAGCUCAGCUUUUCAGGGAGGCUGGUGUUCCUCUCAGGAGUGUCCUCAGGUGGCUGGGAUGAGGAGGCUGCAUGGGGUGGUUCCUGGGCCCCACCAUGGGUAUCUUGGCCUCUGCAUCCUGCCCCGCCCCACCCCACCCCGCCCCUGCCUGUAAGGCUGGGCACUGAGCCAGCUCUCCCUGCAGCGCCGCCUGGAAGAGGAGUAUACAGGGGCCCCUUGGCCCUCUGAGGCAACCCUAGAGCCCACCCUGGCAGAGCUACAAGAACAGAAGGCAGCCAUGCAACAGGAGCUGCGGGCACCUCUGAGGCCUUCCUGUGUCUCCCCUGGUCACAG
Non-coding RNA from Globicephala melas (long-finned pilot whale), 2015 nucleotides. NCBI's taxonomy places the organism in Eukaryota, Metazoa, Chordata, Mammalia, Artiodactyla, Delphinidae. The record is from RefSeq and is a predicted model, not a curated record.